Molecule: long non-coding RNA, 201 nt
Filed under: Ananas comosus (pineapple)
Lineage: Eukaryota; Viridiplantae; Streptophyta; Magnoliopsida; Poales; Bromeliaceae
Description: long non-coding RNA (ACOM_LNC006820)
Source: RNAcentral
CGAUAGAAAAUCAUCAUUCGAUGUUUUUUAGAAUCCCAAGAUUUGUGGGAUGUUGUGGAGAAUAAUAAUUAUGAAAAAGAAUUGGGUAAAGAAGAAUUUAGAAAAAGAGAUAGAGAAGUUCUAUCAUAUAUUUUUCAAGCAGUGGAUCUAUCGUUGGUAGGAAAAAUUUCAACGAUAAAGACUGCACGAGAAGCGUGGAGA